Brienomyrus brachyistius is the source of this 325-nucleotide long non-coding RNA. RefSeq lists it as uncharacterized. The transcript is spliced from 3 exons. Lineage: Eukaryota; Metazoa; Chordata; Actinopteri; Osteoglossiformes; Mormyridae. The record is from RefSeq and is a predicted model, not a curated record.
UUACUAUGCUGGGAGGGCGUGUCAGGUGAUUACUAUGCUGGGAGGGCGUGUCAGGUGAUUACUGUGCUGGGAGGGCGUGUCAGGUGAUUACUAUGCUGGGAGGGCGUGUCAGGUGAUUACUAUGCUGGGAGGGCGUGUCAGGUGAUUACUAUGCUGAGAGGGCGUGUCAGGUGAUUACUGUGCUGGGAGGGCGUGUCAGGUGAUUACUGUGCUGGGAGAGCGUGUCAGGUGAUUACUGUGCUGGGAGGGCGUGUCAGGUGAUUACUAUGCUGGGAGGGCGUGUCAGGUGAUUACUAUGCUGGGAGGGCGUGUCAGGUGAUUACCU